GACGAACGCUGGCGGCGUGCUUAACACAUGCAAGUCGAGCGGUAAGGCCCUUUCGGGGGUACGACGAGCGGCGAACGGGUGAGUAACACGUGGGUGACCUGCCCUCAGCUCUGGGAUAAGCCCGGGAAACUGGGUCUAAUACUGGAUAUUACUCUGCGGUGCAUGCCGUGGGGUGGAAAGCCUUGUGCGGCUGGGGAGUGGGCCCGCGGCCUAUCAGCUUGUUGGUGGGGUGAUGGCCUACCAAGGCGACGACGGGUAGCCGGCCUGAGAGGGCGACCGGCCACACUGGGACUGAGACACGGCCCAGACUCCUACGGGAGGCAGCAGUGGGGAAUCUUGCGCAAUGGGCGAAAGCCUGACGCAGCGACGCCGCGUGAGGGAUGACGGCCUGG
Molecule: ribosomal RNA, 392 nt
Filed under: uncultured bacterium
Lineage: Bacteria
Description: bacterial SSU rRNA
Rfam family: Bacterial small subunit ribosomal RNA
Source: RNAcentral